Molecule: long non-coding RNA, 924 nt
Organism: Bos taurus (domestic cattle)
Lineage: Eukaryota; Metazoa; Chordata; Mammalia; Artiodactyla; Bovidae
Source: Ensembl
GGGGGAGCUGUCCUGUGAGGGACACAAGGUCAGUGUCUGCCCUUCAGGUACUUGUGAUCUGAAGGAGGAGAGAAAAAAAUGCACAAGACAGCAGAGUCUCCAGGCCAAAUGAAAGAAUCAACUAGCUUUGUUGGAGUUCAGAGGAAAGACUGCCCUGGAGGCCUCAGAGCUAAGGGUAAGCCACAUGGUCACGAUGAAAUACUGGACAUGGGUCUCAGCCCUGGGUCUAGCCAAUUACAAAAGGGAUCCAAAUUCUGGAAGAAGUCACACAUUGACCCCAACCAGAAGGCUGAAGCUACUAAUCAUGAUAUUCCAAUUGCAACAAACCUGAGUGGCUAAGGAGAAAUGGAAAGAGAGAGCACACUGAAGAUAGCAGGCUUCAUUGGAUGGCAAUUCAGAGCAUGCUUUCUGGCCUGUGCCUCUCCAAGCUCUGGUCGGUGAUGGCCAUGAUAUGCUGCAGGACAUCGUCCAUGUUGGAUCUGGGCUGGGGCCUGAGCAUGCAGCACAGGGCUGGGGAUUACCGCCCAGGAUGUGUGUGGGUGCUACAGGAAGGGAUGUCCAUGAGUGGCAGGGCCAGAUGGACGCUUAACCAGGAGCCACCAAGCCUGGAGAGCUUGCACAGACAUAGGCAACUGCUGUAGUCUGUGUGCCAGGCACGCAUGUGCAUGCGUGCAUACAUGUUCAGAGCUUCAAUUCAGUCAGUUCAGUCACUCAGUCAUGUCCAACUCUUUGUGACCCCAUGAACUGAAGCAUGCCAGGCCUCCCUGUCCAUCACCAACUCCCGGAGUUUACCCAAACUCAUGUUCAUUGAGUUGGUGAUGCCAUCCAACCAUCUCAUCCUCUGUCUUCCCCUUCUCCUCCUGCCUUCAAUCUUUCCCAGCACCAGAGUCUUUUCAAAUGAGUCAGCCCUUCGCUUCAGGUGGC